Nematostella vectensis (starlet sea anemone) is the source of this 332-nucleotide long non-coding RNA. RefSeq lists it as uncharacterized. Lineage: Eukaryota; Metazoa; Cnidaria; Anthozoa; Actiniaria; Edwardsiidae. The transcript has 2 exons. The record is from RefSeq and is a predicted model, not a curated record.
UAUGAAAAAGAUGGCGUGGUCUAUGUGGAUCUUUGGGAUUACCGCUGAAACUUUGUGGCAGCCAUUUGUUUUCGUCUCAUUCCACGUUGCAUCAAACAACCUCACGUUUAAUCAUCCUAGCUCAAAACUAGGCAAGAGCAAGCAUAUCACAACCAAACGACAAUGGAUCUGAGGAAUCGGUGUACAUUGUACCCCUUGCCUGUAGCCUGGAGUGUGUCAAUGAGGGGGACGUGGUUGUUGGAUUGGGGCUGCAAUUCCCUUGGAAAUGCACUAAUGCUCAGCAGAAAUCUUAUAUUCAUUCUUUUGUUGAACCAAUAAAUGGCGGAAAUAGA